Molecule: long non-coding RNA, 337 nt
Filed under: Brassica napus (rape)
Lineage: Eukaryota; Viridiplantae; Streptophyta; Magnoliopsida; Brassicales; Brassicaceae
Description: long non-coding RNA (BNAP_LNC014674)
Source: RNAcentral
GAGAUACACAUUGCUAAAUUGUAAUGCUUAAAAUCAUUAUAUCCAUUAAAAUCUGAGUUUGAAAAUCCAAUCACCUGUGGGUGUGUUGAUUUCUUAUAUGUGAGCAAGUGAUUUUUUGUUUCUUUAAGAUAUCUCAAAAUUUAUUUCAACUUUUUAUUUCUUUAAGUUUCACUAUGCGGACAUUGCUUAAGAUUAAGCUUAUCACCUUUCUGCAUAGGAACAAUACUAGAAGAACACAUUAUCAUGUCAUAUCUCUCAAGAACUUUGUCAAUUAUGCAUUAUGAGACAACCUUAAACCUUCCAACUGAUAUGUCACGGAAAAUUUCAAUCCCAAUCA